This 749-nucleotide long non-coding RNA is filed under the name Sorghum bicolor (sorghum). RNAcentral describes it as "long non-coding RNA (SBIC_LNC013433)". The record is from RNAcentral. Lineage: Eukaryota; Viridiplantae; Streptophyta; Magnoliopsida; Poales; Poaceae.
GAGUAGGCCCCACUGCUCUGACCUUCGUUCCCCGUGCAUGUCCAUGUCAACAUCACACCUGCUUUUAAGUAAGUAUGGGAAAAAAAAUUUAAAAUCACAGACAUACCAUAGCACAUGCUUCAUUAAAAGAAAGAGAAUCACACAACCCAACUAUGAGGAAACCCUCGUGAUACAAGUUACAUAGUCAGUGAUCAAUGACCUAUAUAUAGGACAAACUAGAGCAUCAAGAAAAAAUGGGGGAGAGAGGGAGACUCUCAACCUUAGGUCUUGUUUAGAACCAAAUUUUUUUAGAUUUUAAUACUGUAGCACUUUUAUUUUUAUUUGACAAACAUUGCCCAAUCACAGAGUAAGUAGGCUUAAAAGAUUCGUCUCGCGAUUUAUAGACAAACUGUGUGCAAUUAGUUUUUGUUUUCAACUAUAUUUAAUACUCUAUGCAUGUACCGCAAGAUUCAAUAUGACAAAAAAAAAUUAAAAAAAUUGUUUUUAGGUGAACUAAACAAGACCUUAACCCAAGUGAACUGAACCCUCGAGAAUAAAAUAGAUAUCACGCAGCUGCGAGGACCUGUUGUAGCCAGCAUUGACGCGAACGGCGGUGCCUAAAUCGGCUCCUAUCGCGAAAAAAUAUAAUAACUAAUAAAGAUGUCACCAUAUGAAUUGAAUAUGAAUGUACACAGUGACUAGUCUUUCGCCUAGUAGCACUUAUGGCACACAAAAGACACCUCAACUAAACUUUUGUUGAACGAUGCCCG